Molecule: non-coding RNA, 52 nt
Filed under: unclassified sequences
Description: Li+-I sequence
Rfam family: nhaA-I RNA
About the family: Acidobacteria, Alphaproteobacteria, Betaproteobacteria and Gammaproteobacteria, Verrucomicrobia, cand. division NC10.
Source: Rfam by way of RNAcentral
GGGUGCGGCGGGUCGGUCCGCCGCAGGAAUCCGGUUGGUCGGGCCGCCAGCC